CUUGUUAGGUGACUGCGUACCUUUUGUAUAAUGGGUCAGCGACUUAUAUUCAGUGGCAAGCUUAACCGUAUAGGGUAGGCGUAGCGAAAGCGAGUCUUAAUAGGGCGUUUAGUCGCUGGGUAUAGACCCGAAACCGGGCGAUCUAUCCAUGAGCAGGUUGAAGGUUAGGUAACACUGACUGGAGGACCGAACCCACUCCCGUUGAAAAGGUAGGGGAUGACUUGUGGAUCGGAGUGAAAGGCUAAUCAAGCUCGGAGAUAGCUGGUUCUCCUCGAAAGCUA
RNAcentral lists this ribosomal RNA (281 nucleotides) under Staphylococcus aureus. RNAcentral describes it as "partial 23S ribosomal RNA". It matches the Rfam family "Bacterial large subunit ribosomal RNA", at positions 585 to 868 of the family's 2925-position model. Lineage: Bacteria; Bacillati; Bacillota; Bacilli; Caryophanales; Staphylococcaceae. The record is from RNAcentral.